ACAAUACAAUGUAUGAUAAUGAUUGUUAAAAUAAAUAAUCAUUCAAGGUUUGAUUUUUGUUUUCAGCACCGAAAAAACAAGGAAAAUUUAAAGGCCUGCAAAAUCCCAAGGAGGCUGGCGGCGGAAAUAGAUGCUAUAGUGGAGGAGGCUCUGGAGAGGCAGGAUAUAUUUGAGUGAAGGACAUUAGAAACAAUGUAAGGAAAAGUGAUUUGUAAGGAGUACUCUGGAGAGGAGGGUACAGUGUCUGUAGGCAUAGACAAUCUAAGGAAUCAGUGAAAGCGCUUCAAAUUCCCCGCAGACUGCAGGGGAAAGUUAACGCAGCGAUCGAGGAAGCACUGGAGUUGCAGGACAACUUCCAUUAAAUAAAUAAAAAGAGACAAAGGCUCGGGGGUUAAAGAAAAAUGUAAGGAUUUACUCAGCAGAGGAGGGCAGUGUCUGUAGGCACCAUUUUGCUUGGAACCAGUUGCAGUUGUUGGCGAAUGGCGGCCGUUAAAGGGUGAUUCAGAGCAAGUGCCUCCAUUAUGAAUGAGCUGAGUGGAGCCACAGCUG
Molecule: long non-coding RNA, 549 nt
Organism: Nilaparvata lugens (brown planthopper)
Lineage: Eukaryota; Metazoa; Arthropoda; Insecta; Hemiptera; Delphacidae
Exons: 3
Source: RefSeq, a predicted model, not a curated record